AUUGAACGCUGGCGGCAGGCCUAACACAUGCCAGUCGAACGGUAACAGAAAGCAGCUUGCUGCUUUGCUGACGAGUGGCGGACGGGUGAGUAAUGUCUGGGAAACUGCCUGAUGGAAGGGGAUAACUACUGGAAACGGUAGCUAAUACCGCAUAACGUCGCAAGACCAAAGAGGGGGACCUUCGGGCCUCUUGCCAUCGGAUGUGCCCAGAUGGGAUUAGCUAGUAGGUGGGGUAAAGGCUCACCUAGGCGACGAUCCCUAGCUGGUCUGAGAGGAUGACCAGCCACACUGGAACUGAGACACGGUCCAGACUCCUACGGGAGGCAGCAGUGGGGAAUAUUGCACAAUGGGCGCAAGCCUGAUGCAGCCAUGCCGCGUGUAUGAAGAAGGCCUUCGGGUUGUAAAGUACUUUCAGCGGGGAGGAAGGGAGUAAAGUUAAUACCUUUGCUCAUUGACGUUACCCGCAGAAGAAGCACCGGCUAACUCCGUG
RNAcentral lists this ribosomal RNA (490 nucleotides) under uncultured bacterium. Its description in RNAcentral is "partial 16S ribosomal RNA". It matches the Rfam family "Bacterial small subunit ribosomal RNA", at positions 30 to 507 of the family's 1533-position model. The record is from RNAcentral.